CCUUCGAUAGUUCAGUUGGUAGAGCGGUGGACUGUAUCAUUGUACAAAGAUAUCCAUAGGUCACUGGUUCAACUCCGGUUCGAAGGA
Transfer RNA from Daphnia magna, 87 nucleotides. It matches the Rfam family "tRNA". Rfam says of the family: Transfer RNA (tRNA) molecules are approximately 80 nucleotides in length. Their secondary structure includes four short double-helical elements and three loops (D, anti-codon, and T loops). NCBI's taxonomy places the organism in Eukaryota, Metazoa, Arthropoda, Branchiopoda, Diplostraca, Daphniidae. The record is from Rfam.